GACGACGGGUACGGGUUGUGAGAGCAAGAGCCCGGAGAUGGAUUCUGAGACAUGAAUCCAGGCCCUACGGGGCGCAGCAGGCGCGAAAACUUUACAAUGCGGGAAACCGUGAUAAGGGGACACCGAGUGCCAGCAUUAUAUGUUGGCUGUCCGGGUGUGUAAAAUACACCUGUUAGCAAGGGCCGGGCAAGACCGGUGCCAGCCGCCGCGGUAACACCGGCGGCCCGAGUGGUGAUCGUGUUUAUUGGGUCUAAAGGGUCCGUAGCCGGUUUGGUCAGUCCUCCGGGAAAUCUGACGGCUUAACCGUUAGGCUUUCGGGGGAUACUGCCAGACUUGGAACCGGGAGAGGUAAGAGGUACUACAGGGGUAGGAGUGAAAUCUUGUAAUCCCUGUGGGACCACCUGUGGCGAAGGCGUCUUACCAGAACGGGUUCGACGGUGAGGGACGAAAGCUGGGGGCACGAACCGGAUUAGAUACCCGGGUAGUCCCAGCCGU
This 495-nucleotide ribosomal RNA is filed under the name uncultured archaeon. RNAcentral describes it as "bacterial SSU rRNA". It matches the Rfam family "Archaeal small subunit ribosomal RNA", at positions 259 to 754 of the family's 1478-position model. The record is from RNAcentral.